CUCCUGCCUGCAACAGACAGAUUUAGUAUUACUUGUUUAUCGGACGGCACCUGGAUGGCAUUACCGAAGUGUAAAAAGCAAAGCACUUCUGGUGUGUGUGAGAUGGUUCCUGAGAGCAGAGAGUUCACAGAGUGUGGUGUGCCUCUGGAGAAACUGAAAACUC
Molecule: long non-coding RNA, 163 nt
Organism: Mauremys reevesii (Reeves's turtle)
Lineage: Eukaryota; Metazoa; Chordata; Testudines; Geoemydidae
Exons: 2
Source: RefSeq, a predicted model, not a curated record